AUGGUUUAGUAGGUGGGACUUAUUCUGUCUCUUUAAAGGCAGAAAAUAUUCAAAAGGCUAUGACUGUGCCUCUUAUUUUUAUUGUCUACAGACAGAACAGAGCCUGUAGACCUGCCAUUCACACCGGCAUCAGUAUUCAAACUGGAUCACCAUGCAGAACCAAGUGGCUAUUGUCUUCAUGCAGAUCAUGUGUUUCUAUUAUGUCAACUGCAAAGAAGAUGUUACCCAGUUCCCUCAUUCAGCUUCUGUAGAGGCAGGAGGCACUUUUAAUAUGACAUGUGAAUAUACAACUACUUUUUAUGGCCUCCAGUUUUACAAGCAAGGGACUGGGGAGAAACUCCAGCAUCUAACAAUCCUGAGAAAGGAUGAAGUGGUUAAAGAAGACAGAUUUGUAUUUCGGCUGCAGAAAGAGAAGCAGCUUAGCACUGUGUCUAUCAAACAGGUGGAAGUAUCAGACUCAGCCAUCUACUGGUGUGCUCUGCAGGCACAGUGCUAGAAAGCAGCUCCUUGCUGAAUAAAAACUGCUCUGCUAGCCAACCUUCAGAUGUACAUUUUAUUUCCACAGCUGUGAAAAAAGACAAAAUUGUCAAAGAGACAAACAAGUCGCCAUAAGAAAAAACACCUAUUGACAU
Xenopus laevis (African clawed frog) is the source of this 632-nucleotide non-coding RNA. NCBI's taxonomy places the organism in Eukaryota, Metazoa, Chordata, Amphibia, Anura, Pipidae. The record is from the annotation of a RefSeq genome assembly.